RNAcentral lists this long non-coding RNA (1034 nucleotides) under Lynx pardinus (Iberian lynx). The record is from RNAcentral. Lineage: Eukaryota; Metazoa; Chordata; Mammalia; Carnivora; Felidae.
UCCAUACCAAGAAACAUAGGUAGUGGCAACAUCCAUGAAUGGAUGCAAAUUGGAGUACAGUGACUUUGUUAGAAAUGUUCACUGUCACUUUGCAAGAUAUAUUAUAAAUAUGACUAUUAAUUAAAGUCUUUUUUUAAAGUUCUGUAAAUGUUUUUUGGAACGAUGAAUGUGGAUAUAAUAACUAAUUAAAUAAAUAUAGUUUAAAUUCAAAAUAAUUUAUUCUAGUUUAAAUUCUAUAAUGAAAUGAAAAAUUGCAAACUGUACCUCAGAAAAUAGUAGCUAUUCUGGAUUAGUGAUAUAUUAUCUUCAGUGUUGACCUUGGUAAGUAGGAUUAGAAUCUUAAGUAUAAAGUAAAUUAUAUCUUUUGAUUGGCAUACUGUAGAUGAUUACGCGAUAAAUGAAAACAAAUCACAUUCCUGGUGCUGUCUGGGAUUUUCUACAGCUAUUUUCCUUUACUCUCUUUCUUAAUCUUUCUUGAAAAGAGAUAGGUUGCUUUCUUUAUUCAAAGAAAAUAGUUUAAUUAGCACGAAGCAACAGUGUCUACUAAAAUUGAAGGAAAUUAAUGAGUUUGGCCUGGAAUUCAAAAGAUAGCUAAAAAGAAAAUACAAAUAUAUCUAAGGGGCAGUCUAAUAAUCUAAUCUAGUUUAGCAAUGAGGUGGGCAUUUAUAAUGCCAGCUGAGUUUGGCCUCUUUCAUUUUGGGGAGGAUUGGCAAGGGUUUCCCUGUAUUAUAUCCUGCUAUACGCAACUGAUUUUCAUGGUGAUAUAUCCCUUGAGAUUUUAUCCUAAAUGUAUGGUUCCACAGAAGAAAAAAUGUGGAUAAAAAUAUUAAUUCCAGCUUUACUGUCAAUUCUAAUUCACAGUUGCCCACAUAUUGAAACUGAGUGACUAAAAGGGGUCUCAUUAUAUUCUAGGCGUUUGCAAUGUCACAUCUAGAGAGAUGAGCGCACCUGGAGACAAAUGACCAGACUACCAUAAAACAGAAGCUUAAUUAUGUUCACUUACAUUUUCAAAUUAUUCCCAACAAAUUACCUUG